RNAcentral lists this ribosomal RNA (326 nucleotides) under uncultured eukaryote. Its description in RNAcentral is "partial 18S ribosomal RNA". It matches the Rfam family "Eukaryotic small subunit ribosomal RNA", at positions 1470 to 1796 of the family's 1831-position model. The record is from RNAcentral.
CCCUUAGAUGUUCUGGGCCGCACGCGCGCUACACUGAAGGGAUCAGCGUGUUUUCCCUUCCCGAGAGGGACGGGUAACCCGCUGAACCCCCUUCGUGGUAGGGAUCGGAGCUUGCAAUUGUUCUCCGUGAACCAGGAAUUCCCAGUAAGCGCAAGUCAUAAGCUUGUGUUGAUUACGUCCCUGCCCUUUGUACACACCGCCCGUCGCUACUACCGAUUGAACGUUUUAGUGAGGUAUUUGGACUGGGCCUUGGGAGGUUUCGGCCUCCCUUGUUGCUCGGAAAGACUCCCAAACUUGAGCGUUUAGAGGAAGUAAAAGUCGUAACA